This is a non-coding RNA of Paramuricea clavata, 259 nucleotides long. The record is from the annotation of a GenBank genome assembly. NCBI's taxonomy places the organism in Eukaryota, Metazoa, Cnidaria, Anthozoa, Malacalcyonacea, Plexauridae.
CUUUUUUAACUAUAUAUCUGGGGGGGGGGCAAUUGCCCCCCCAGGGAAAGAAUUUGCCCCCCCCCCCCAGUAAAGCCAUUUCUGCCCCCGAAGUGCGAAGCAGAAUUGCUCAUGAUUGCUGUCAGAAUUGCAGUUGAUUUACUUGAUAAUGAGAUCAUGCCCUUCCAUAGCCUCCUCCACAGCCAAUCUUGUGUGUAAUUCAUAUUGUUCUUCACCGAGUAUUUCAUAAUAGCGAUAUAGAUUUCAUGCAAACAAUCCG